RNAcentral lists this ribosomal RNA (538 nucleotides) under Ernodes articularis. RNAcentral describes it as "SSU rRNA". It matches the Rfam family "Eukaryotic small subunit ribosomal RNA", at positions 604 to 1108 of the family's 1831-position model. Lineage: Eukaryota; Metazoa; Arthropoda; Insecta; Trichoptera; Beraeidae. The record is from RNAcentral.
AUAAAGUUGUUGCGGUUAAAAAGCUCGUAGUUGAAAUUGUGUCCUGCGGUGUCGGUCUACCGAUUGCGGUACGACAGGCACGUCUGCGGGGCUUCUCGCCGGUGCGUCCACCGCCGGCGUGCGUCGGUCGGCCUCUCACGGUCGGCCGCGCACCGAGGCGGGCCGUCGCGGCUGUUUACUUUGAACAAAUUAGAGUGCUCAAAGCGGGCUAUCACUCGCCUGAAUAUUGUACGCAUGGAAUAAUAGAAUAGGACCUCGGUUCUGUUUUGUUGGCUUUCUGAUACCAGAGGUAAUGAUUAAUAGGGACAACUGGGGGCAUUCGUAUUGCGACGUUAGAGGUGAAAUUCUUGGAUCGUCGCAAGACGGACUAAAGCGAAAGCAUUUGCCAAAGGUGUUUUCAUUAAUCAAGAACGAAAGUUAGAGGUUCGAAGGCGAUUAGAUACCGCUGUAGUUCUAACCAUAAAUGAUGCCAGCCAGCGAUCCGCCGAAGUUUCAUAAUUUUAACCCGGUGGGCAGCUCCCGGGAAACCAAAGCUUUC